GACGAACGCUGGCGGCGUGCUUAACACAUGCAAGUCGAACGGAAAGGCCCUGCUUGCAGGGUACUCGAGUGGCGAACGGGUGAGUAACACGUGGGUGAUCUGCCCUGCACUUCGGGAUAAGCCUGGGAAACUGGGUCUAAUACCGGAUAGGAGCCAUUUUUAGUGUGAUGGUUGGAAAGUUUUUUCGGUGUAGGAUGAGCUCGCGGCCUAUCAGCUUGUUGGUGGGGUAAUGGCCUACCAAGGCGGCGACGGGUAGCCGGCCUGAGAGGGUGGACGGCCACAUUGGGACUGAGAUACGGCCCAGACUCCUACGGGAGGCAGCAGGGGGGAAUAUUGCACAAUGGGCGCAAGCCUGAUGCAGCGUCGCCGCGUGGGGGAUGACGGCCUUCGGGUUGUAAACUCCUUUCGCUAGGGACGAAGCUUUUUGUGACGGUACCUAGAUAAGAAGCACCGGCUAACUACGUG
Molecule: ribosomal RNA, 465 nt
Filed under: uncultured bacterium
Lineage: Bacteria
Description: partial 16S ribosomal RNA
Rfam family: Bacterial small subunit ribosomal RNA
Source: RNAcentral